ACGCUCGACACCUACGGGGGGCAGCAGUGGGGAAUAUUGCACAAUGGGGGAAACCCUGAUGCAGCGACGCCGCGUGGAGGAAGAAGGUCUUCGGAUUGUAAACUCCUGUUGUUGGGGAAAAAGAGGAUGGUACCCAACAAGGAAGUGACGGCUAACUACGUGCCAACAGCCGCGGUAAUCUGAGCGGGCGUGGCAAGGC
RNAcentral lists this ribosomal RNA (199 nucleotides) under uncultured bacterium. RNAcentral describes it as "partial 16S ribosomal RNA". It matches the Rfam family "Bacterial small subunit ribosomal RNA", at positions 328 to 544 of the family's 1533-position model. The record is from RNAcentral.